RNAcentral lists this ribosomal RNA (497 nucleotides) under uncultured bacterium. RNAcentral describes it as "partial 16S ribosomal RNA". It matches the Rfam family "Bacterial small subunit ribosomal RNA", at positions 28 to 507 of the family's 1533-position model. The record is from RNAcentral.
GAUGAACGCUGGCGGCGUGCCUAAUACAUGCAAGUCGAGCGAACAGACGAGGAGCUUGCUCCUCUGACGUUAGCGGCGGACGGGUGAGUAACACGUGGAUAACCUACCUAUAAGACUGGGAUAACUUCGGGAAACCGGAGCUAAUACCGGAUAAUAUAUUGAACCGCAUGGUUCAAUAGUGAAAGACGGUUUUGCUGUCACUUAUAGAUGGAUCCGCGCCGCAUUAGCUAGUUGGUAAGGUAACGGCUUACCAAGGCAACGAUGCGUAGCCGACCUGAGAGGGUGGUCGGCCACACUGGAACGGAGACAGGGUCCAGACUCCUGCGAGAGGCAGCAGUCGGGAAUCUUCCGCAAUGGGGGAGAGCCUGACGGAGCAACGGCGCGUGAGUGAUGAAGGUCUUCGGAUCGUAAAACUCUGUUAUUAGGGAAGAACAAAUGUGUAAGUAACUAUGCACGUCUUGACGGUACCGAAUCAGAAAGCCACGGCUAACUACGUG